This 481-nucleotide long non-coding RNA is filed under the name Homo sapiens (human). RNAcentral's name for it is "non-protein coding lnc-SLITRK1-3:1". Lineage: Eukaryota; Metazoa; Chordata; Mammalia; Primates; Hominidae. The record is from RNAcentral.
AGCAGGUUCGCGCCUUGGAGAGCGUCUUCCGGCACUACCAGUAUCUGGGCCCUCUGGAGCGGAAGUGGCUGGCCGGGGAUAUGCAGCUCACAGAGGUCCAGAUGAAAACCUGGUUUCAAAACCGCCAGAUGAAACACGAACGGCAAAUGCAGGAUUCACAGCUGAACAGCCCCUUCUUGGGGUCUCUCCACGCGCCCGGGCUUUCCACUCACCGUCUUCUGGCCUUGCCAACGGCCUGCAGCUGCUGUGCCCUUGGGCUCCCCUGCCAGGGCCCCAGGCUCCGAUGAUGCCCCCUGGUUCCUUCUGGGGUCUCUCACAAGUGGAACAAGAGGCCCUGGCCUCUGCGUGGGCUUCCUGCUGCGGGCAGCCUCUGGCCUACCACCCCCCAAGCCCAGGAAGUGGCGUGGAUACACUGGGACCAGCCCUGUCCACAGGGCCCUGGAGGCUGUGUGCUCUGCCAGAGACAGGGGCUGCGUUUUGA